Molecule: small RNA, 123 nt
Filed under: unclassified sequences
Description: LOOT RNA
Rfam family: LOOT RNA
About the family: Latescibacteria, OD1/Parcubacteria, OP11, TM7. Lineage (Microgenomates, aka OP11)
Source: Rfam by way of RNAcentral
GGCCUAACCCUCGUAAUUUAAUCUGCGAGGUAUGGCGUAAAAACCUGUUGAAAAUACUGAACUCCACGUUCAGCAAUCUUUCAACAGGUCAUAUCGGGAAACCGGUAUGGAGCCGCAAGGCUC